CUCCUUCUUCCUUCUUUCCGCCACGGGGUCGUCCUGCACCUUUAGCCGCUUCGGUUAGCUUCUGUUGCUCUCCUUGUUCGCCUUGGUGGCGUCCUUCAGCAUCGUAAAACUGCCCGCCCCCUGAGAGCGAUCCGUCGAGGUAUGCAGUCGGAUCCGACGGUUAUCAGCAUGACGUUGGCCUCGAUAAUCGAGGCAGCAGACUCGUCGCCUCCUGCACCGAUUCCGCUGCCUUAGGAGUUGCCUUCCUCGUGUCCUCCGAUUUCGCCGUCCUCCGGCACCAUGGCGGUGUCGGCGUGGCCCUGUCGGUCAACAUUGGUGAGGAGCCCUUUGUCGGUCGAGGGUUUUGCUUGUUUGGUUAAAGUUUAUAUUUUUGCAUGGUUUUGAUUUUGUAUCGUAGCUAGGGUUUUCUACUUCCUUGCGGUGGAUUUAGUGAUUGAACAAUGGGAUUUAUCUAUAGUUUAUAUGAUUUGAUUUAUCCGCCUCGAGUGAAUUUACUGAACUUUCAGAUACUACAGAUUUUUUUCCAGCAUUUAGUCCACUUGAAGGGUUCAAUUUGCCAGGAACAUUAGCAUCGAAAAUGCGCAUCUGGUGUUAUAUAUAUAGCGGUUUAGCUUUUAGAAGAAGAGUUAACUUGUAUCAGCUUUUCUCUAGUUGGUAAAUCUAAAUUUUAACUUGAGGUAAAUUGAAGAGAAUACAAAUAUAUCCCUUAGAUAAUUGUGGUUUUAUUUCAUCCAAUUUUGGAUGCUUGUAUAUUUGUUAUUGAUACACAUAAUGCCUUGUCUAUAAUUUGCAUAAAAUAAUUCAUCAAAUAUUUUUUUUUCUGUUUUGGAAGAAUACUGAAAUUAAUUUAUCUAAACAAUCCUUUCAUCAACAAUUUUAAUUCAUCCUAUGAACACUUCUCCUGCAUCAAACAAGGUGAAACCUUUGUGACAGAUAUGGUUGUUUUAACGGAUUUCCCUAUUGUGCUUAAAAUAGUUAAUAUCACAACUUCUAGUACCAGUGCUUCGUAGCUACUUAUUAAACAAAGCUAAGCUAUGUAUAAUUCUAUUUUAAUCGAAUAAAUACACUCAUGUUCUUAGUAUAUGUUUGCAUCGACUUAUUCCCUCCCUGUCAUUGAGACUCUUGAAGAUGUUCACCGAAGACCAAUCUUGGGGUCAUAGUGAUGUUAAUGUACAUUAUACUAGUUUAGGUGUGACGGUGCAUACAUUCUGGAAUAUGUAUACAUUUAGAGAGUACAACAGAGCUCUUAAAUCUGGAUUUUAGACAUUUUGUUCUUCAUCUCUUCUCUUUUUACCUUUUAGGAGGACAUGCAUGUCAUCUAGAUAUUUCUUGCUUGUAACCUCUAGAGAAUUUAGAAUGUUGGUAACUACUGGUGCAGUUUUAUGUGAUUAUCUUCGUUAGCUUCUUAAAUAUUUGCAUGUUGUAUCUAAUAAUCAUUGAUGUUCUCCAGUUACCAAGUGAGUCAUAUACUCAUUAUUAUGAAUCAGAAAUCAUGACUGAUCAGGACAAUAGCCUUCAAUUAGAGAUGAGAGUCAUGCCAACAAAGAAUCAAAUAUUUUUGAGUUCAAGAUCUCAUGAAAUGAACUCAUUAAAUAAGCAGGAUGAACGAAGUGGCUGGUAAUGGUUCUUGCUGGUGGCAUAGAUUUCAAGGUGAUUGAGGAAUUGCUGAUUCCAGGUUGCAAUCCUGCUAUUCGAUGCUGAGAUGAAAGCUGCUAAGGCAAUCUAUUUCCAGGCCAUGCUUCAAUGCGGCGUUCCACACCACAUCGAUGCGGUCAACGUCAAUGGCUCCGACCUCAUGAUGCGUCCAACCUUCCAGGCAAUGGACGAUGCCUCCG
Musa acuminata subsp. malaccensis (wild Malaysian banana) is the source of this 1835-nucleotide non-coding RNA. NCBI's taxonomy places the organism in Eukaryota, Viridiplantae, Streptophyta, Magnoliopsida, Zingiberales, Musaceae. The record is from RefSeq and is a predicted model, not a curated record.